Molecule: long non-coding RNA, 2892 nt
Organism: Leucoraja erinaceus (little skate)
Lineage: Eukaryota; Metazoa; Chordata; Chondrichthyes; Rajiformes; Rajidae
Exons: 4
Source: RefSeq, a predicted model, not a curated record
GGCUGCAAUUACGUCAUGUCCGGUCGGAGGCAAGAUGGCGCUGCCCACAGCGUGCACGAGGUGUUGAAACAUUCUACAGAACUGAAAAUAGUCAUCAAGUGGCAGUGAGCAGCAGAAAACAACAAGACACAACAAGACACAACAGGGAAAGAUAGGAGCAUUAAACCUGUACCCAGGGUACCCAACUUCCACAAAGCUCACUGGUGCUUUGCCAUUUACUGUAUGAGUACUGAGAAACUUACCAAACGCUGCUCGUCGAUGGCGCCCAGUUUCUAGGGAAACCGUACAACAUUUUUCGAUCCUGUUCAAUGUUUGCAAAUGCCACCGAGAGAAAAAACACGGAUACCAAAGAGUUAGACAAGAUGUUAUCAGUAAAUGAACCAGGUUUGGGAACUUCGCUCGGCGUUUUACGUUUAUAAGAGGAUCGGCCAACGUAGAGAUGAUCAUCAAAGCCGAGUGAGUCAUCAGAAGCGACCGUGCGAACGUGGCCGUGCAUAAAGAUCACCACGAGGAUAUGUCCUGUUGGCUCCAACAAGAGGCAUGGCUCACGCGGAGCCGUCCUUCUGUGAUAGUCCAUUGGACUUGGAAGGAUUAGUUUGUAACAGAUAGCGGACGUCAGGCGAAAUCCAGAGCAUGGCACAUGCGUAUUUCCAUCACAUGAAUGAAAAAGCACGCGAUUAAAAUAUUUUACUUAUUCAUAUCUAUGAAAGAAUGAAGAAUUCUUACAACGGUUUAUACAUAAAUUAAUUAAAACCAAUAUAUAGAAUGGAAAAUAAUUGAGCUUCGGCUUAUUUGUCCCUUCCUGCUGUAAAAGUCUAUGUAUAGUACACGUGGCAUUGAACAAUGAAUUACAUGUAGAUGACAUCGGACCUCGACGUCUGUGUCGUACACACUGCCAAGUUAAUCUAAUAUACUUUGCAUGUACGUGAUCUUUAUGUCUUCGAUUCCUCCUUCAUGAUCCAAUCUAAAGGUCGUUGAUAAGCAGACAUCAACGUUUAUACCAUCAGAGCUUUCGCAGCGCAUUCUAUGUACUCUACAUUCACUGGGCAAAAACCAACCACGCCCAUCCAACUUAAAAUUUACCCCUCUCAAAUUAAGUCUCUGUCCUCUAGUAGUUGACUCUUUCACUCAGAAAGAAACGUGUUCUGACUAUCUACCCUGCAUAUUGUAUCAACGUAAAACAUGCUUCAGUAAUGAUUUUUGAAAUUACAGCGGGAUCAAAUGUUGGCCACAAAAACACUAGCGCCAGUCAGUUUAUGUUUACAACGGGCAACAUAUCUAAAUCGAAGGUUAAGUAGUGCGAGUAAUUCAGAUUUUAAAAGACUCCAAAAGCUUGAAACAUGAAAAUUGAUGCGAGAAGCACAUGUGAUGGACAUAGCGGUUGACGUUUUAACACACACCAGGGGUAACAAGAGAAAGAACCGCACCAAAAAGAGUUAGCUUCUAUUUCUUACCCGGUAUUCCAAACGCGACAAUAACAGGAUAGUAUAUGCUCGCUAUGUAGUAAAUUGCUGAAUAUCCCAUUUUCCAUCCGAAGCAGCGAAUUUGGAUAAUGCGCUAAGUCCUUUCAUCCACUGGUGUUUGGUUUCGAGCCCUAUUAUACAAUCAGGGCACGUUGACUGUGACAAUUAGUGCGACCGUCACUUCAGUCACCUCAGACACUUUCCACUGAACAAAUAACCCGUCAACAACUUUCCCUCAUUGCAUCAUCGUACAGUGAAUUUGGCACCUCAAUGGAUGUUGCAAACAAUUAUUAUUUUUAGAUUUGUUAUGACUCUACUCCGACUGUAAUAGUACAAACAUCGAUUUUAUACAGGGAUAUAGAAGAUUAAAUGUGAUUUAAUUCAGGACGAGGAUCACAUUUGACAAGCGCAAUUACUUUUAGUGUCACUUGCAAAACUAAGAAAGGGGUAUUACUUUGUUGGAUGAGGUAGAGUAGUUCUGGAUCGGAUAAUUCAUAGCGAUCUCUUGAAUUGCUGUUGAAUUGAGCGUCUGACCUUUACGUUCACAGGGAAGAGAUUUAGCACAGAUGUUGUCACCAUUUACCAAACUCUAAAUACAUAUAAAUGUGUAAUGUAAUUCGAUGAAUAUAUUGCAUAUGAUCCUUCAAACUAGCUGUGGUUACUAUGAAAGUUGGGUGAUAGAUUGGGUGAAUCAAAUUGUCAGGGGUGCUGAGGAAGAGGAUUUCUUGGAAUGGAUUCGGGAUAGUUUUCUAAACCAACAUGUAGAGGAACCAACGAGAGAGCAGGCUAUUCUGGGGGGCAGUGUUAGCUGUGGGGAGGAUGCAAUAUAAAUGCUGCAGCUCUGCUUCAAAUACCAUUAUCCCUUCCAAGCUUAUCUCCAAACUCGUAGAAACAGGAUUUAGCACAUCCCUCUACAACUGCACCCUAUACAUCCAGGCCACAAUUAGAGAGGCUACGUGACAAGUUGUGCUCUACGAUAAUUUUCAACGCUGCUGCUUUAAAAUGAUGCGUCUGUCGCCCCCUACUAUGCUACUUCUAGACUUAUGACUGCAGCAAACUACUACUGCAACUCACUUUCCGAGUUCGCAGCCGACACCACCGCAGUGGCUCCUAUAUUUAUUUAUUAAUGUAUUUAUUUUAUUAUUUAUUUCGAACAAAAUAAAAGAAUAAAAAGCAAGUGUGAAACAGCAUACAAAAAAAAAACAAAACCAGAAUAUUUAUAAUGUGUCAUAAACAAUAUCAAUAAAAUUAAUGAAAUCGUAUGUGUCCGAAAAGGAGCAGGAAGAAGCCAAAGCUCAUUAAUUCCCACCCCUUAUUCAACUGUUUGUAAUAAUCUUAUACAAAUUUCGCAGCUAUAUGUACACCAUAUGUACACCAGCCACUAUAUGUACACCAAAUUAUUUACAUUUAUACACUAAUCACAUGUUAA